GGGUGAGUAACACGUGGAUAGCCUACCUAUAAGACUGGGAUAAACUUCGGGAAACCCGGAGCUAAUACCGGAUAAUAUUUUGAACCGCAUGGUUCAAAAGUGAAAGACGGUCUUGCUGUCACUUAUAGAUGGAUCCGCGCUGCAUUAGCUAGUUGGUAAAGGUAACGGCUUACCAAGGCAACGAUGCAUAGCCGACCUGAAGAGGGUGAUCGGCCACACUGGAACUGAGACACGGUCCAGACUCCUACGGGAGGCAGCAGUAGGGAAUCUUCCGCAAUGGGCGAAAGCCUGACGGAGCAACGCCGCGUGAGUGAUGAAGGUCUUCGGAUCGUAAAACUCUGUUAUUAGGGAAGAACAUAUGUGUAAGUAACUGUGCACAUCUUGACGGUACCUAAUCAGAAAGCCACGGCUAACUACGUGCCAGCAGCCGCGGUAAUACGUAGGUGGCAAGCGUUAUCCGGAAUUAUUGGGCGUAAAGCGCGCGUAGGCGGUUUUUUAAGUCUGAUGUGAAAGCCCACGGCUCAACCGUGGAGGGUCAUUGGAAACUGGAAAACUUGAGUGCAGAAGAGGAAAGUGGAAUUCCAUGUGUAGCGGUGAAAUGCGCAGAGAUAUGGAGGAACACCAGUGGCGAAGGCGACUUUCUGGUCUGUAACUGACGCUGAUGUGCGAAAGCGUGGGGAUCAAACAGGAUUAGAUACCCUGGUAGUCCACGCCGUAAACGAU
RNAcentral lists this ribosomal RNA (723 nucleotides) under Staphylococcus aureus. Its description in RNAcentral is "bacterial SSU rRNA". It matches the Rfam family "Bacterial small subunit ribosomal RNA", at positions 104 to 810 of the family's 1533-position model. The record is from RNAcentral. Lineage: Bacteria; Bacillati; Bacillota; Bacilli; Caryophanales; Staphylococcaceae.